GUGCUUGCUUCAGCAACACAUAUACUAAAAUUGGUACGAUACAGAGAAGAUUAGCAUGGCCCUCUGCGCAAGGAUGACACACAACUUAUAUAGUAAUGCAUUGAGACU
This 108-nucleotide small nuclear RNA is filed under the name Ochotona princeps (American pika). The record is from RNAcentral. Lineage: Eukaryota; Metazoa; Chordata; Mammalia; Lagomorpha; Ochotonidae.